CUCUGUGUGGGCUGCGAGCUCAGGUGGCACUUGGCAGAAGCACAGGCUGUGAGCACAGCGUGGAGAGAUGCUGCUAUGGACAUGUAUCUAUUGCAAGGAGAAGUACAUGGGCUGGCUUUUGUUGUGCAGAGGAGAGAUGGAAGGGAUAUGCAUGCAAACAGACCUGGUAUAAUUCCCCUUUUCCUUCCUGUUCACCAGGUGCUCCCAGAGUUGUAUCCAAAUGGCAGCAAAGAUGGACCUCUUCCAUGUCCUCAUUUUCCAAACACAAAACUCAAGUGAAGCAGAUUAUGUGGUUUUUUUCUCCCUUUCAGUGCAAGAUCCUCUCUUCUUCUCUGCUCCCAUCAGUAACCAGAAAAUAUCCUCAGAACUCUGAUGGAAAGACAAGACACGUGAGAUAGUAUAUCAUUCUGAAUGGAGUUUCUGGAGCAACUAAAGUUUUGAGCUCAUCUGCUGCUCUCUCUCUAGCUUGAUUCAGAAUCUAAUUUGUCCAAAAUUUCAACCGUGAUGAACUUUCCCAAAACAGAAGCAGCAAGCUGCUUCCCACCAUCACAUACUUGGCCUGUAUCCCGCCUAUCCAUAUGCAGCAGAUGUAAAUAUAAUUUACUGGCACAAGCAGCUUUCUGCAAAUGGCAUCUUUCUAAGUCUUCUUUAGUAUCCAUG
RNAcentral lists this long non-coding RNA (660 nucleotides) under Zonotrichia albicollis (white-throated sparrow). RNAcentral's name for it is "lncRNA (ENSZALG00000007345.1)". Lineage: Eukaryota; Metazoa; Chordata; Aves; Passeriformes; Passerellidae. The record is from RNAcentral.